RNAcentral lists this unclassified non-coding RNA (402 nucleotides) under soil metagenome. Its description in RNAcentral is "partial contains 5.8S ribosomal RNA, internal transcribed spacer 2, and large subunit ribosomal RNA". The stretch from base 1 to 121 matches the Rfam family "5.8S ribosomal RNA", at positions 35 to 154 of the family's 154-position model. The record is from RNAcentral.
GAUGAAGAACGUAGCGAAAUGCGAUAAGUAAUGUGAAUUGCAGAAUUCAGUGAAUCAUCGAAUCUUUGAACGCACCUUGCGCCCUUUGGCUAUUCCGAAGGGCAUGCCUGUUUGAGUAUCAUGAACACCUCAACUCUCAUGGUUUGCCAUGAUGAGCUUGGACUCUGGGGGUCUUGCUGGCCUAUGGUCAGCUCCUCUCAAAUAAAUCAGCUUGCCAGUGUUUGGUGGCAUCACAGGUGUGAUAACUAUCUACGCUUGUGGUUUUCCAUCAGGUAACCUUCAGUGAUGGAGGUUCGCUGGAGCUCAUAAAUGUCCCUCCUCAGCGAGGACAGCUUUUUGAACGUUUGAUCUCAAAUCAGGUAGGACUACCCGCUGAACUUAAGCAUAUCAAUAAGCGGAGGA